AUUCUUUCAAAUAGUGUGGAAAGUCCCAACAACCAGCCUAGAUGUCAACUUCUGAGUAAAUAAUUUCUCUUGCCAACAUUCCUUUCUGGGGUGAGCCUUCCAAUUUUUCACAGUAUACUGUCUGUAACCUCUGCAUAGCAUCAGGCCCCAUGCUGAGCAGCAUACAGCAUACCCCCAUAAGCCAUGAGGGAUACUGGGUUCAGAUUCCUUCGUAGCAUCUCAACUUCCCGACAAGUGGUUGUUGCUUCAGGCAGUGAAUGACUGGAGAGAAGGACGCACUAAUCGGGAGACAGAGCAGCAAAGUCAAGGACCCAGCAAACCGAAUACUCAUGACCCCUACGGGGUGAAGGUGAGAGAUCAAAAGAGAGCACCGCUCCAUAGGAGGAACACAACAACUGCAUGUCCUCCUGAGCUCAGGUCUGAAUGGAAAUCCAGCAAUGACUCAGCAGGGAAGGCUUCCUGCAUGGCAGAAGAGAGUCCAACCAAUCAAAGCCACAUGUGAUCAGUGUCUACGAGGAGCCGGCACUGAGGUCUGAAUAUCUCCAACAAAACUCCAAAACUCAUACUGAGGUGGGUGUGGAUGUGUGUACUUCUAGUCCCAGCACCAGGGAGGCAAACAAAACAAACAAACAAACAAACAAACAAAAAACAGAAGCAUUGUAAAUUCAAGGCCAGCGUAGACAGGGAGUUUCAGGCCAGCAGAGCAAGACCCUGUCUCAAAAAAUACCAAAAUAAAACCUCACCUUGAAAUUAAGUGCCCUCUUUGUGGUAUUGAAAGGAUGGAAACUUCAUUCACUACAGUGUUUGGAGAAGGCACCUUUGGGAGGUGAUUAAGGUUGAAUGCCCCUUUAAGGGCAUUUGUUACAAUGACACUGUGACCAUAGGUUGAGUAACAAUUUCCUCUGGGACUGAAACAUCCCAUCCUGCAGGGAAGCUCCUUAAGCAAGAAGAAAACUCAAAGGAGCUUCAGAAAGUCCCUGAAACAGAGCAUAUUCACUAGACUCCCCCUUGCCAGAGUAAGCAAUAAAAACUGAGAGUCCCUCAAGACUAGAGGAACACAGCUACAAAGAAGACACCGAGAUCAGACCAGCUGCCUGGAAGAGGCAAAAACCAGUCAAGCUGCCUGGAAGAGGUUUAAACCAAGCUGCAAAGGACACUUGCUAACCUGUUGAAUGGUCUGCCGGUGUGGCACCUCAUCUUGAGCUUCUUUCUGUCUUUAGAACGUAAGCUGACUAAGCCUUUGCCUUUAUAAACCAGUUUCAGCAACUGAAAAGAGACUAAUGGCCGGUGGCUUUGCUGUGUGCCGGGUAGAGCCCUGAUGUCCUGACCAAUCCCAGCCACCUGCAAAGGGUCACUGGAGAGGCAGAUUCCAACUAGCCCAUGUGACUACCUAAGAGCUAGGGAAAAGGUGGGUCAGGCGGUCCAACCUGGAAGACAUACUGUUAAGUUUGAGCUAUAGGCAACCACCAGAAUAGCGUCUAGUCCUGGGAGCUGACAGGGAUAGGAACCUUAACUCAGACGCAUGGAAGGAAAAUGGGGAGCAAGGCAGGGUAGAAGAAAUCUAGGACUCUGGGACUUGGGGCAUCUGGCAAAAGACAGCAGUGAGCAUCCACUGCACUCUGGAAUUGAUUGCCAAGGGUGCUGCCC
This is a long non-coding RNA of Meriones unguiculatus (Mongolian gerbil), 1647 nucleotides long. RefSeq lists it as uncharacterized. The record is from RefSeq and is a predicted model, not a curated record. Lineage: Eukaryota; Metazoa; Chordata; Mammalia; Rodentia; Muridae. The transcript has 3 exons.